Molecule: ribosomal RNA, 551 nt
Filed under: uncultured bacterium
Lineage: Bacteria
Description: bacterial SSU rRNA
Rfam family: Archaeal small subunit ribosomal RNA
Source: RNAcentral
AAUAGAUACCCAGGUAGUCCUAGCCGUAAACGAUACUCGCUAGGUGUCGGCCACGGUGCGACCGUUGUCGGUGCCGUAGGGAAGCCGUGAAGCGAGCCACCUGGGAAGUACGGCCGCAAGGCUGAAACUUAAAGGAAUUGGCGGGGGAGCACCACAACGGGUGGAGCUUGCGGUUUUAAUUGGAUUCAACGCCGGAAAUCUUACCGGGACCGACAGCAAUAUGAAGGCCAGGCUGAAGACUUUGCCGGAUUAGCUGAGAGGUGGUGCAUGGCCGUCGUCAGUUCGUACUGUGAAGCAUCCUGUUAAGUCAGGCAACGAGCGAGACCCACGCCCACAGUUGCCAGCGUACUCUCUGGAGUGACGGGUACACUGUGGGGACCGCCGCUGCUAAAGCGGUGGAAGGAAUGGGCAACGGUAGGUCAGUAUGCCCCGAAUAUCCCGGGCUACACGCGAGCUACAAUGGUUGGUACAAUGGGUAUCUACCCCGAAAGGGGACGGGAAUCUCCGUAAAACCAAUCUUAGUUCGGAUUGAGGGCUGCAACUCGCCCUCA